UGCGUAGGUGGCAUGGCAAGUUUGAUGUGAAAUCUCCGGGCUCAACCCGGAAAUGGCAUUGAAUACUGCUGUGCUGGAGGUUUGGAGGGGGGGACUGGAAUUCUCGGUGUAGCAGUGAAAUGCGUAGAUAUCGAGAGGAACACCAGUGGCGAAGGCGAGUGACUGGCGCGUUCCUGACGCUGAGGUGCGAAAGCUAGGGGAGCAAACA
This 208-nucleotide ribosomal RNA is filed under the name uncultured bacterium. RNAcentral describes it as "partial 16S ribosomal RNA". It matches the Rfam family "Bacterial small subunit ribosomal RNA", at positions 568 to 774 of the family's 1533-position model. The record is from RNAcentral.